UCCAGCCAUAAUGAAUAGCAGGCUUUCAAAAAAAUAAAAACGUUUUCUCUGCUACUCUUUCUUCCAGAAAACUCUUCACUUCCUUCAAUCCGGAGGUUUUGGCCAGAGGUUUCCUACCGCUCUCUGAACCAUUUCAGGGGCUCCCUUCUCCAGGUAAAAGCAUUCUCUUCUUCUCAGGGCCUCCUUUGCUAUAGUAUGCGCAUAGAUGUUUUUCGCCUUUGGGAUGAAAAUGAACUCAAUCUCCUGAAAACUAUUUCUAUGGAUCUGAAUAUCUCUGAUUAUUGCUCUAAUGACCGAUUUGUCUAUAUUAGUGCUUUGACAUUUCUUGAUAAAGGUUUUCGAAUCCCCCAUAACUUCUAUUUUGUUGACUCCCAGUCUAAUCCCUAGUUUUAUUGCCUGUAAUCCUGCAUAUGCCUUUGCUGUAAAUGGAUUUGCAAUGUUGGAAUGAGUAACUGCUUGUGUUGCAAGCAUUUCCCCUUCCUCGUUCCAUGCUAUUAAUCCUGAUGCCGAUCUGAAAUCCUGGCGGUCGAAGGCUGCAUCAAAAUGAACUAUGGUCCUUCCCCUUUUGGGUACCUAUUGAGUAUUCUCAUGAGAAUAAAGAGUAAGUUUUCCUUCCUUUGUAACUGCAAGUUCUGUAAUAUAAUCUCUGAUCCUCCUAACAAUUUCUGAUCCUGACAUGUUUUUCCUUUCAUAUACGAGUUGGUUUCUACUGAACCAUAUGAACCAGAGGCUACAACAGAAGAUUCGAAGUUGUUCAGCAUUUCCUUUAUCAAAGACCCAUGGCACUGUUGGAAGAUAUGGCUGCUAUUCUCUUCAUCACAUCCGCAUCUAGGACAUUGAGAAUUCCUAACGACCCUUUUGAUUUUGAGGUUGAUAAAAGAUGGGAUAAAAUUCCAAGAGAUCCUCCAUACUGUCAUUUGAAUCUUUGAGGGAAUAUGUAAUUUCCAUAAUUUAUUAUAGAAAUUUUUUGUCUCGGUAUGUAACAUUAAGCCAUUAGGAUCAAGUUUAGGCUCAUGUAAUAGUUUAUAGGCACUCCUUACGGAGAACUCCCCUAUCGGUUCUCCUCUCCAUACUUGAAAGUCCUCUUGUACUGUCUCCGCCAGUGGGAUCUGCAAAAUUUUCUUCGCUAUGACCGGUUGGAAGGUAUUUCUUAUCAACUCCAUUUUCCAACUCCUACUAUUUGAAUCAAUUAAAUUAGAGACUAAUUUAAUAUUAUCAUUUCCAUCUUGAAUCGAUAUUCUAUCUACUUCGUUCCCUGGUAUCCACGAAUCAUUCCAAAUGGAAAUUUGAUCACCUCUCCCCACCCUCCAGCAACGUCCUCUUUCAAGGAGUCCUCUCGCAGCCCAAAUACUUUUCCAGGUAAAUGAAGGGUCUCUUCUUCUUCAUCAUCAAGGGAUAGUCCAGCAAAUUCUGACUCCAUAGACGCAGGACAAUAUGCCAAUAAAGGGUAAAAAGCUCUUCAAAUCUCUAAAUCAAAUUAAAUGCC
This is a long non-coding RNA of Gossypium raimondii (Peruvian cotton), 1486 nucleotides long. RefSeq lists it as uncharacterized. NCBI's taxonomy places the organism in Eukaryota, Viridiplantae, Streptophyta, Magnoliopsida, Malvales, Malvaceae. The transcript has 3 exons. The record is from RefSeq and is a predicted model, not a curated record.